RNAcentral lists this ribosomal RNA (289 nucleotides) under uncultured rumen protozoa. RNAcentral describes it as "partial 18S ribosomal RNA". It matches the Rfam family "Eukaryotic small subunit ribosomal RNA", at positions 1509 to 1826 of the family's 1831-position model. The record is from RNAcentral.
UAUACAACAAGUGCCUAGCUAGAUAUAGUAUGGCAAUCUCGAAUAUAUAUCGUGAUGGGGAUAGAUCUUUGCAAUUAUAGAUCUUGAACGAGGAAUUCCUAGUAAGUGCAAGUCAUCAUCUUGCAUUGAUUAUGUCCCUGCCCUUUGUACACACCGCCCGUCGCUCCUACCGAUACCGGGUGAUGCCCGGGUGAACCUGUUGGACCCUUUUGGGAAAAAUAAGUAAAUCAUAUCACCUAGAGGAAGGAGAAGUCGUAACAAGGUUUCCGUAGUGAACCUGCAGAAGGAU